AUGGUCAAGCAAUCCAGUUUUUACCACCAUACUAAAAUAUAUAGCAGAUUAGGAGGGUCAAGUACUCACCCUGCAGCACUUUGCCAACGCCUCCUCCCUUCCUCCAGCAACCCAAUCCCCGGACCUGAAACCAAACAUGAUGGAAUAAAAAAUAUGAUGUUUAGGCCGAACAAACAUCAAGAAUCGGAACAGCAGCAAGGGAAGCCUCUCCAUGUGGCAGGCGCAGAUGCACAAAUCGAGCUAGUACCUGAAAACGCAACACCAAAUCAACCUCGCUCCGGCAGAGCUCCGGCAGCGACCUCGCUCUCCACACCCUUCUCGUUUUUCCUACCCACACCCGGCAGCAGCCAGCAGUCACAUCCUUGCAGGAAGAACGGUCGAGCGAAUCAACGAACCUCAGUUACUCACCUCUGCUAG
This 417-nucleotide ribosomal RNA is filed under the name Triticum aestivum (bread wheat). RNAcentral's name for it is "partial small subunit ribosomal RNA". The record is from RNAcentral. Lineage: Eukaryota; Viridiplantae; Streptophyta; Magnoliopsida; Poales; Poaceae.